RNAcentral lists this transfer RNA (76 nucleotides) under Hyphomicrobiales bacterium. RNAcentral's name for it is "tRNA-Lys". It matches the Rfam family "tRNA". From Rfam's summary of the family: Transfer RNA (tRNA) molecules are approximately 80 nucleotides in length. Their secondary structure includes four short double-helical elements and three loops (D, anti-codon, and T loops). Further hydrogen bonds mediate the characteristic L-shaped molecular structure. tRNAs have two regions of fundamental functional importance: the anti-codon, which is responsible for specific mRNA codon recognition, and the 3' end, to which the tRNAs corresponding amino acid is attached (by aminoacyl-tRNA synthetases). tRNAs cope with the degeneracy of the genetic code in two manners: having more than one tRNA (with a specific anti-codon) for a particular amino acid; and 'wobble' base-pairing, i.e. permitting non-standard base-pairing at the 3rd anti-codon position. The record is from RNAcentral. Lineage: Bacteria; Pseudomonadati; Pseudomonadota; Alphaproteobacteria; Hyphomicrobiales. RNAcentral also lists the same sequence under 3 other names.
GGGCGCAUAGCUCAGUCGGUAGAGCAGCUGACUCUUAAUCAGCGGGUCCAAGGUUCGAGUCCUUGUGCGCCCACCA